RNAcentral lists this transfer RNA (78 nucleotides) under Acidimicrobiaceae bacterium. RNAcentral describes it as "tRNA-Asp". It matches the Rfam family "tRNA". Rfam says of the family: Transfer RNA (tRNA) molecules are approximately 80 nucleotides in length. RNAcentral also lists the same sequence under 2 other names. The record is from RNAcentral. Lineage: Bacteria; Bacillati; Actinomycetota; Acidimicrobiia; Acidimicrobiales; Acidimicrobiaceae.
GGACCUGUGGUGCAGCUUGGAGUGCACGCCGGCCUGUCAAGCCGGAGGCCGCGGGUUCAAAUCCCGUCAGGUCCGCCA